CACUUCUUCCUGUUGAAACCAUGUCUUAUUUUUGAUUUUGUGACACCACGCUAUCUUGUUUUUUCUCCUACGUGUCUGUCUACUCCUUUUCAAUCUCCUUUGUAAAGUGCUCUCUGUUCUCUAGCUAAGCUCUAAUGUUGGAGUUUAGUGCUCAGUCCCUUCUCCUCAUUCUCCCUCCCUCCAUGACCUCAUCUAUUUCCAAAGCUUUAGUUCCCACCUAUAUACCAAUCAUUUCCAACAUCUCUCAACACCUCUCGAGCUCCAGACUUGUACAUCCAACUGCCUUCUGCUGUGUAUUUUCUGUUUGUCCUUCUGGAUCGACUCUCAACUCCUGUCGACCCUCCUCUCUGCCCUGAUACUUUGACCUUUGUGGGCUACAUCAGAAGACUCUCUGACUUCCAGCUGGGUUUGGCCAAUAGAAGCUUCCAGCAGAAGACUGAAAAGCACGAGGAGAGUGAGGUUCCUUCUGAAAAACAUCAAGUGGCUAAAAGAGAAAUGACCUGAGAAAGAGAGAAAAUGUAUCUUUGCUGGGAUUACAAUAAUUCAUACUUUCGGGAAAAGCAUGAAACCCAUGAGACAGAAUCGUGCCUCUUCAGUGAAGCAUGUAGGAAGGAGCAUGAACUCAAAGGAAACAGAUCACAGGGGGAGAAGUGAAAGGCUGAACUCGAGGCGAGGAAGACCAUUCCCAGCACUGAGCAGAGCAGCUCAUCAGAGGAAAACACCGGAAACUUGCCUGGGCGAUGCAGCCCCCACUGCAGAGGACACAUUCCUUCCACAUGAACAACAGCAACAUCGUGCUAGGGUAAAGGGGAGGAGAAAACAAGGCCAGAAUUCAUUCCAGAGAAACUUUCUCCAGUGAGUGGCAUAUUUCCUCCACGGCAAGUUGAAGAAACCAAGGCAUAGACAAAGCCAAUGAUUUUUCCAAGACCACAUAGCUGGAAGUGGGAUUUACAAUCGCCAGGUUCACGUGACUUCAAAGUGCCCUCUCAGUUCACAGGACUUCAGACAGAGAGGAACUCUACUUGGAGAUCUGCGCUUAAAGACUACACCUAAGGAGAUUCGCCUGCACUGGGACCUGAUUUAAAGGAUGACGUCCUGGACUCCAGAGCUGAUGCUGUAUAGGCUUGAGACUUUUGGGAGGUAUUGAGAAGGAUGACAGUAUUUUGCAAGUGGGAGGAAUAUGAUGGUUAAAGUAUGUCCACAAAGUAUUUAACAUUAUUUUCAAAAAGUAGAGUGUAAUUCCCCUCCCCUUGAGAGUGGGCUGGACUUAGUGACUCACUUCUAAUGGAUAGAAUUGAGCAGAAGUGACAGUGUGUGACUUCAGAGGCCAGGUCAUAAAAGUCACUGUGUCUUUCUGCUUGCUCUUCCUUGUGGAUGCUGAACUCUGGGGGGACGUUGUGAGCAGUCUUAUGGAGAGGCCCACAUGAAACCCAGGCCUUCUGCCAACAACCAUUUGAGUGAAUCCUUUGGCAAGUGGAUCCUCCAGCCCCAGUCAAGCCUUCAGAUGACUCCAGGCCCAGUCAGCAUCUUAACUGCAACCUCAUGAGAGAACCAGAAACCCAGUUCAGAACUACCCACCCAAGUCACUGCCAGAUUCCUAAUCCUCAGAAACUGACUGAGAAAAUAAAUGUUCGUUGUCUUAAGUUACUAAAUUUCAGGGUAAUCUGUUUGGUAGAGACAGAUAAUUAACACAUCGGUGGUGAAAAAUUACCUGAUAAUAUUUUUAUGUUUGGAUUAGAAAGAAAGUUUUAGAUAAAUCCAAGAAAAUUCUUUUCAUACUACAGUCAUGGAAACUUCGAGUCAUUUGCCAUGAUUCUUGCUCCUGUCCUUUCAGUAUGAGCCCAAAAGUUCCUGUUGUCUUUAUUAUUUAAUUUUCCCCCUACAUUUUCUCUGUUUGGUAGCUGUCAAGGAGCUACACACAUACAGAGAGAGAGAGAGCACAGAAACAUUGGAGAGAUAGAAACAAUAUUACACAAAGGUAGCCACAC
This 1988-nucleotide long non-coding RNA is filed under the name Equus caballus (horse). RNAcentral's name for it is "lncRNA (ENSECAG00000047319.1)". Lineage: Eukaryota; Metazoa; Chordata; Mammalia; Perissodactyla; Equidae. The record is from RNAcentral.